CUGUGGUCAGGUAGAGAAUACCAAGGCGAUCGGGUGAACUGUGGUUAAGGAACUCGGCAAAUUGCCCCCGUAACUUCGGGAGAAGGGGGACCUCUGCUGGUGAUGGCAUGUGCUGUCUGAGCUGGUGGGGGUCGCAGUGGCCAGGGGGAAGCGACUGUUUACUAAAAACACAGGUCCGUGCGAAGUCGUAAGACGAUGUAUACGGACUGACGCCUGCCCGGUGCCGGAACGUUAAGGGGACCGCUUAGCCGACUCUUUGGGUUGGCGAAGGUGAGAACUUAAGCGCCGGUAAACGGCGGUGGUAACUAUAACCAUCCUAAGGUAGCGAAAUUCCUUGUCGGGUAAGUUCCGACCUGCACGAAUGGCGUAACGACUUCCCCGCUGUCUCAACCACAGACCCGGCGAAAUUGCACUACGAGUAAAGAUGCUCGUUUCGCGCAGCAGGACGGAAAGACCCCGGGACCUUCACUACAGCUUGACAUUGGCGUUUGGAGCGUCUUGUGUAGGAUAGGUGGGAGACUGGGAAGCUGUCACGCUAGUGAUGGUGGAGUCAUUGGUGAAAUACCACUCUGGUCGUUUUGAACGUCUAACUCUGGUCCGUGAUCCGGAUCGGGGACAGUGUCUGGUGGGUAGUUUAACUGGGGCGGUUGCCUCCUAAAGAGUAACGGAGGCGCCCAAAGGUUCCCUCAGCCUGGUUGGCAAUCAGGUGUUGAGUGUAAGUGCACAAGGGAGCUUGACUGUGAGACUGACAGGUCGAGCAGGAGCGAAAGCUGGGACUAGUGAUCCGGCAUCGGCGUGUGGAAGCGGUGUCGCUCAACGGCUAAAAGGUACCCCGGGGAUAACAGGCUGAUCUUCCCCAAGAGUCCAUAUCGACGGGAUGGUUUGGCACCUCGAUGUCGGCUCGUCGCAUCCUGGGGCUGGAGUAGGUCCCAAGGGUUGGGCUGUUCGCCCAUUAAAGCGGUACGCGAGCUGGGUUUAGAACGUCGCGAGACAGUUCGGUCCCUAUCCGCUGCGCGCGCAGGAGACUUGAAGGGGGCUGUCCCUAGUACGAGAGGACCGGGACGGACGAACCUCUGGUGUGCCAGUUGUACCGCCAGGUGCACGGCUGGUUGGCUACGUUCGGAAGGGAUAACCGCUGAAAGCAUCUAAGCGGGAAGCUCGCCUUGAGAUGAGGUCUCCCACCCUGUGAGGGGGUAAGGCUCCCGGUAGAUGACCGGGUUGAUAGGCCGGAGGUGGAAGCACGGUAACGUGUGGAGCUGACCGGUACUAAUAGGCCGAGGACUUGACCAA
This 1290-nucleotide ribosomal RNA is filed under the name metagenome. RNAcentral's name for it is "bacterial LSU rRNA". It matches the Rfam family "Bacterial large subunit ribosomal RNA", at positions 1661 to 2925 of the family's 2925-position model. The record is from RNAcentral.